ACGCUCGACACCUACGGGAGCAGCAGUCGGGAAUAUUGCGCAAUGGAGGAAACUCUGACGCAGUGACGCCGCGUAUAGGAAGAAGGUUUUCGGAUUGUAAACUAUUGUCGUUAGGGAAGAAAAAGGACAGUACCUAAGGAGGAAGCUCCGGCUAACUACGUGCCNGCAGCCGCGGUAAUCUGAGCGGGCUGGCAAGGC
This 198-nucleotide ribosomal RNA is filed under the name uncultured bacterium. RNAcentral describes it as "partial 16S ribosomal RNA". It matches the Rfam family "Bacterial small subunit ribosomal RNA", at positions 328 to 539 of the family's 1533-position model. The record is from RNAcentral.